This 1254-nucleotide ribosomal RNA is filed under the name metagenome. Its description in RNAcentral is "bacterial LSU rRNA". It matches the Rfam family "Bacterial large subunit ribosomal RNA", at positions 1635 to 2878 of the family's 2925-position model. The record is from RNAcentral.
GACACGACCGUACCGCAAACCGACACUGGUGCGCGAGAUGAGUAUUCUAAGGCGCUUGAGAGAACUCAGGAGAAGGAACUCGGCAAAUUGACACCGUAACUUCGGAAGAAGGUGUGCCUUUAGUAGGUGAACCAUUUACUUGGGGAGCCCAAUGAGGCUGCAAAAAAUCGGUGGCUGCAACUGUUUAUUAAAAACACAGCACUCUGCUAGGACGAAAGUCGACGUAUAGGGUGUGACGCCUGCCCGGUGCUGGAAGAUUAGAUGAUGGGGUGCAAGCUCUUGAUUGAAGUCCCAGUAAACGGCGGCCGUAACUAUAACGGUCCUAAGGUAGCGAAAUUCCUUGUCGGGUAAGUUCCGACCUGCACGAAUGGCGUAAUGAUGGCCACACUGUCUCCUCCUGAGACUCAGCGAAGUUGAAAUGUUUGUGAUGAUGCAAUCUCCCCGCGGAAAGACGGAAAGACCCCAUGAACCUUUACUGUAGCUUUGUAUUGGACUUUGAACAGAUCUGUGUAGGAUAGGUGGGAGGCUUUGAAGUGUGGUCGCUAGAUCGCAUGGAGCCAACGUUGAAAUACCACCCUGGUGUGUUUGAGGUUCUAACCUAGGUCCAUUAUCUGGAUCGGGGACAGUGCAUGGUAGGCAGUUUGACUGGGGCGGUCUCCUCCCAAAGUGUAACGGAGGAGUUCGAAGGUACGCUAGGUACGGUCGGACAUCGUGCUAAUAGUGCAAUGGCAUAAGCGUGCUUAACUGCGAGACUGACAAGUCGAGCAGAUGCGAAAGCAGGACAUAGUGAUCCGGUGGUUCUGUAUGGAAGGGCCAUCGCUCAACGGAUAAAAGGUACUCUGGGGAUAACAGGCUGGUACCGCCCAAGAGUUCAUAUCGACGGCGGUGUUUGGCACCUCGAUGUCGGCUCAUCUCAUCCUGGGGCUGUAGCCGGUCCCAAGGGUAUGGCUGUUCGCCAUUUAAAGAGGUACGUGAGCUGGGUUUAAAACGUCGUGAGACAGUUUGGUCCCUAUCUUCCGUGGGCGCUGCAGAUUUGAGGAAGCCUGCUCCUAGUACGAGAGGACCGGAGUGGACGAACCUCUGGUGUAUCGGUUGUCACGCCAGUGGCAUUGCCGAGUAGCUAAGUUCGGAAGAGAUAACCGCUGAAAGCAUCUAAGCGGGAAACUCGUUUCAAGAUUAGAUCUGCCGGGGCCUUGAGCCCCCUAAAGAGUCGUUCAAGACCAGGACGUUGAUAGGUCAGGUGUGGAAGUGAAA